RNAcentral lists this long non-coding RNA (1523 nucleotides) under Sus scrofa (pig). RNAcentral's name for it is "lncRNA (ENSSSCG00050047338.1)". Lineage: Eukaryota; Metazoa; Chordata; Mammalia; Artiodactyla; Suidae. The record is from RNAcentral.
GGACAGUCCUGAAAAUAAGUGCUACUGUUGCCUGGUUUUAUGGGUGGUGGGGGAGUUAAGGCACAGAAAGGUUAAAUAAUCUGAUCCAAGUCACAGAACUGAUCAGUGAUGGACCUGGGAUUUAAAUGGAAUUUUGGUUUUCAGAGGUAAAUGUGGGGAGAGCCACAGCUAUAAUUUCUCAGGUUUCUUUUCCUUCUCCUGGGGCCAGGGAGAUGGCUUUCCCUUCCUGGGGCAGGACUGUACUGUACAGUUGCUCCUGGUGUGCACUGUACAAGGGUCCCUGGUGGAGGGAAUAAGAGGUCAUGAAAUCCAGCUUGAGUCCCUCACCAGGCCCUGAGCUCAAGGGGUUGUUUCUUCUAAUUCCGCAGAGGCUCAGUGUGAGCUGGUGGAGCCCUGCCCUAGGAGAGGAGCUAGUGAGCAGGGCGCUCUUUCACCCCUUGCCCAGCUUUGUGGAAAAUCAGUUUAGUGGACCUGCUUGAUGGAAGAGGACAAGGGACAAGGGAUUUGAGGUCCUUGUGGCUCUGGGGUGUUUGUUGCUGUGCUUUCAGGACAAAGGUCUCAGCUUUCAUGGGCACUUUGCUCCAACAAGCAUGGCGGAAAUGGAGGAGGGCUGCGGGCUGACCAGGAACCACAGGAAUCAGCAGCUCUGAGUUCCCGACCCCAGGGCCUCUGGCACAGGUUUGCCCUGCUUUGUUUUUCCUUUUUCUUGAGCUCCUUGACGGGAAGGCAGACUGCACCUCUUAGGAGCUGCAUUCCAGAACAACCCCGGUAAUGGAAAGUACAAAAACAGCUUCAACUUGUUCCCAAAGCUUGAUGGGUUGCACUGACUUCUCAGAAAGCGUCCAUUUGGACCCAGAAUGUGAAAUAACAUUCUGUGGCUCCCUGGAGGAGGGCCAGAGGGUUACGCAGCCCAGGCAUGGGCCAGAUGGGAAAUCCAGACACUGGUCUGGGGAGGGACAUCUUUUGCUGCUCAUUUGGGCUGUCAAAGCAGCAGCUCCUUAAGACCCUCAUGGAACGCCUUCAAAUGUCACUCUGUGGGGAGAAUUUCAGAUGAGGGGGAAGGUUUAAUCAACUCAUGCGGCAUUUAGCUGGCAUCACAAUGAUGGUUGUUUAAAAGAGGUGGCAGCAGUAAGUGGGGUGGGUGGGGUUGGAUGGUAUGCUCCCUAUGACAUUGUCCAAAGCAUGCAAACCCAAUUGUCACAGUCGGUGGACCCUGCAGAUGCUUGUUGAGAAACCCCCGAGGAGUUCCUGUUGUGGCUCAGUGGUAACGAACCCAGCCAGUACCCAUGAGAAUUUGGGUUCGAUCCCUGGCCUCGCUCAGUGGGUUAAGUAUCCAGUGUUGCCGUGAGCUGUGGUAUAGGUCACAGACGUGGUUUUGAUCCUUUGUUGUCAUGGCUGGCAGCUGCAGCUCUGAUACUAGNGCCUGAUAUCUGCAGCUCUGAUACUAGCUCUGAUACCUAGCCUGGAAACUUCCAUAUGCUGCAGGUACCGCCCUAAAAAGAAAAGAAAAAAAAAAAGAAAAA